GUAGUUACCUAGCAGGGGGUACCAUGAUCAAGAAGGUGGUUUUCCCUGGGCAAGGCCUGUCCUCACUCAGGAUGUUGACCCCUGCCAUUUCCUCAAAUAUGGAAAAAUCAAGGAAAUUGACUGCAUAAUUUGUGGUAGAGGGGGAUUGUGUUCAUGUGCUAAAAUUCUUA
Molecule: small nuclear RNA, 170 nt
Organism: Nannospalax galili (Upper Galilee mountains blind mole rat)
Lineage: Eukaryota; Metazoa; Chordata; Mammalia; Rodentia; Spalacidae
Gene: U1
Rfam family: U1 spliceosomal RNA
About the family: U1 is a small nuclear RNA (snRNA) component of the spliceosome (involved in pre-mRNA splicing). Its 5' end forms complementary base pairs with the 5' splice junction, thus defining the 5' donor site of an intron.
Source: Ensembl